Molecule: long non-coding RNA, 1412 nt
Filed under: Carassius auratus (goldfish)
Lineage: Eukaryota; Metazoa; Chordata; Actinopteri; Cypriniformes; Cyprinidae
Description: lncRNA (ENSCARG00000000258.1)
Source: RNAcentral
AAAUCUCAGAAACUUCCUAUGCUGUGGUCUUUACUUUCAACGUGAUUAACAUCAGCAUGCCAGAGGACCCUGUGUCUAGAGGCAAAACCACCCAGCAAGUGCAAGAUACCAUCAAUAAUGCGCUGAACACUCUUCUGAAUGAACCUGGCAGUCCAACUUUACAACCCAAGACCGCCAACUUCACGUAAGAUGCAAAUGGACAUUGGAAACUUCACUUUGUCUCCAUAUAUUUUAGCUUAUUAAAUUAAUCCAAAUCAUUUAGUAGUAGUAGAAGUAGUGUCAGCUGUGCAAUUUCCAUGAAUUAUGUUUCAAUAUGGAUGGAAGUCCUUUAACAACACAUUUUGUUUGUAUUGCAGGAUCACUUCAAACCAGAUUGAUGGCAAGAUGGAAUACAGCUUCCAGGAUGGAGAUGUCAUACAACCAGUCAGCUUCCUCAAUGAGCUACGUCAACCAACCACUACUACAGUGUUUCCAGAAACAACAUUUGGUUUCUCUGUGACUCCUUCAAACCUCAUGUAAGUGUUGUAUUGCUUUUUUGAGAACAAUAAAAUAAUUAAAGAAAGAAUGUUAUUGCAAAACUUUGAUGUACAUUAAACAAAAGUGGUUAUAUUUACAGAUCUGGUUCAGCAGUGGUCACAAGCAAGCUGGUGUUCAACUCCUCAUCUCCAGUGCCCAGUGAAUCUCUGGUCCUCAGUGCUAUCAAUACUCUCCGUCAAUCCAGAGAGUCACAGCUCAAUGAAUCGUUGAAGGUGCUGAAUGUCACCUAUGAGAGUAAGUGUAAUAAUUUUCCCUUCAAAAGAUUUGAAAUGUGAUUAAGUUAUACAAUGAUGUAUAAUGGGCUUUUGACAAAUCCUCAAACUACCAUUUCCUUCCAAACAGAAAUCUCAGAAACUUCCUAUGCUGUGGUCUUUACUUUCAACGUGAUUAACAUCAGCAUGCCAGAGGACCCUGUGUCUAGAGGCAAAACCACCCAGCAAGUGCAAGAUACCAUCAAUAAUGCGCUGAACACUCUUCUGAAUGAACCUGGCAGUCCAACUUUACAACCCAAGACCGCCAACUUCACGAUCACUUCAAACCAGAUUGAUGGCAAGAUGGAAUACAGCUUCCAGGAUGGAGAUGUCAUACAACCAGUCAGCUUCCUCAAUGAGCUACGUCAACCAACCACUACAACAGUGUUUCCAGAAACAACAGCCAGUGUUUCUGUUACUACUCCCAACCUCAUAUCUGGUUCAGCAGUGGUCACAAGCAAGCUGGUGUUCAACUCCUUAUCUCCAGUGCCCAGUGAAUCUCUGGUCCUCAGUGCUAUCAAUACUCUCCGUCAUUCCAGAGAGUCACAGCUCAAUGAAUCGGUGAAGGUGCUGAAUAUCACCUAUGAGAGUAAGUGUCAUAAUUUUCCCUUCAAAAGAUUUUAA